Molecule: long non-coding RNA, 551 nt
Organism: Cicer arietinum (chickpea)
Lineage: Eukaryota; Viridiplantae; Streptophyta; Magnoliopsida; Fabales; Fabaceae
Source: RefSeq, a predicted model, not a curated record
CAAUGCCAGUUUAAUGUUAGAAUCGCUUCGUGGGAAGAGGAUGAUGUUUGUCGGCGACUCCAUUAACCGGGGUCAGUAUGUCUCUUUGAUAUGCCUUCUCCAUCAACUCAUUCCCCAACAUGCCAAAUCCAUCUUGUAAUGGAGCAACCAUGGAGGAAUUAGAAGAGAAAAGAAGAGCCCAAGUAGUAGCAAAGCUUCAUGCAAUUCUUAGGCCAUUUCUUUUGCCUACAAUGAAGUCUGAUGUUGAGCUAAUGUUGCCACGGAAAAAAGAGAUCAUUGUAUAUGCUAACAUGACUGAGCAUUAGAAGAGCUUGCAGGAACAUUUAAUUAAUGAGACACUAGGGAAAUAUUUGAAUGACAAACUUUCAAUUGGACGCUCUGUGACAAAGCUCAAUAAUUUGGUUCUUCAACUUAGGAAAGUCUGUAACCAUCCUGACCUCCUAGAAUCGGCUUUUGAUCGUUCAUAUUUUUAUCCUCCUGUGAAUGAGAUCAUUGAACAAUGUGGAAAAUUCCAUUUGCUCAACCGAUUGUUGGAACGACUAUUUGCACGA